AUACUGGUUCAGAUGAUCGCUGGCCUUUGGCUGGAGGAAAGUCCGGACUCCCUAUGUGCUUAAGUACAUAGUCAUAGCACCAUGGCGACAUGGGUAGGCGUGAGCUUACGGAAUCGGGCAACAGAAAGCAAACCGCCCUUCGACAGGCUCAGGACAAGAGACGACUAAUUCUAGGAUCUAUUUAACUUGCUCUGAGUCUGUCGAAGAGGUAAGGAUGAAAGGGUGGUGUAAGAGACCACCGCAUUAUUUAGUAAUAAAUAAUGGCUGUGUAACCCCUGCUUGGAGCAACCCUGUAUAGGGGCAUAGAUAAAUGAUCAUCUUAAUUCAAUUAAUUUGAAGGAUACAGAAUCCGGCUUACGAACCAGUUAUUUA
Molecule: RNase P RNA, 372 nt
Filed under: Candidatus Dojkabacteria bacterium
Lineage: Bacteria
Description: RNase P RNA component class A
Rfam family: Bacterial RNase P class A
About the family: Ribonuclease P (RNase P) is a ubiquitous endoribonuclease, found in archaea, bacteria and eukarya as well as chloroplasts and mitochondria. Its best characterised activity is the generation of mature 5'-ends of tRNAs by cleaving the 5'-leader elements of precursor-tRNAs.
Source: RNAcentral